CCUCGGCUAAGGCUUUAACUCUAGCUCUGCUCGCUGUACUUUUUACUGAAGAAUGCCGCGAAGUACGAGAAUGACGUGAUCUUGUUUCCGACAAUUUGUCGGAUUGUCUACGUUUUAUUGCAUUGAGUAGUGGACCAACUCGUUCGAGUAAGCCCGUUCUGGAACCAUUUUGGACUCUUCUCCAAAUUCCCCAAAUUUAUCUUGUUCGUACAGCCCUCCCAACCGCCCAAACAACCCUGUGAAUUCGUCGUGGGCCGUUGUUAGCUCGCCUAGAAACGCCCCAAUAUCCAUUUUGCCCCAGUCUUCCUCAUUGGCGUUCUCAGCCUUCUCUACUAAUUUAAGGAGCCUUUUCAAAGAUUUGCCAAUUUCGUUUCUUUUGAGUUCGACAGAAUAGCACAGUCCGCUGUGCGUCUUUUUCGUGCGGCGUGUGCCGUCCGCUUCGAUCUCCUCUGAGUGUUCUGGUGCUUCACUAUGACUCAUUUUGGAGGCUCCGUUAGAACAAUACGGUUUACCUCUGUGUUGUAGUUUACCAGACUUCUAACAGACUUUUUUACUGUUGCGUUCCCGGUUUAGUCAGACACGCUGGUGUGUUGAGGACCAAGUUCGCUAGCAUUAACCACUUCGCGUAGUGUGUAAAACUGAGCCCAAACUGGUUUUUGUAAUGGCUUUAUUACUUGGCUGGCAGAAUUACAGGAUCACAGGCACGAUGCGGUAAAAAACUAGGAAGCAAAAUAAUUACAGAAAAUUACAAUUCUAAUAUUUACAAUGAUUUCUAAGAAAUUCAGAUAAAGACAAAAAUGGCAAGAGCUGAACUUAGAAACUUACGUCUGUUCUGGAUUGUAAAAUAAUAGAGUUCUCCAACUCUUUAAGUGCUGUUGCUUCCUGAUUGCUGGCUUUGACUGAGUGAAUAAUGUGGUCACCGAACGUGUCCCAAUAGAGGAUACAAUGCAUUCCAAAGUGAUUACAACAGGAAAAGCUAGAUGCGGCUAAACAGCGGUUUUCCUUUAAAUGUCAAAAUGUUGAGAGCUAAUCAUAAUCUUAAGCGUGCGUUGAUAUAGCUAAGUGAUAACGAAAACAUUGAAGCAUCGGACAUUGAUGCAUGUCAGUUACACGUAGUCUUCAGACUAAAAGUUGGAGACAAAGUGCGUAUAAGUAUCUGCCAGGAUGGUCAGACGAAGUUUUUAAAAUCGUCAGCUGGCAGAGAUCAAGACCUACGACUUAUCGUUUACAGGAUCUAAAUCAGGAAGAUAUUGAAGGUCGAUUUUAUAAAACGGAGCUGCAAAAAGUAGAAAUAUCUGAGAACGUCUAUAGAAUAGAAAAAGUCUUGAAAAGAAGAAAACGGCGCGGAAAAACAGAGCUUCUUGCAGAAUUUCUUAAUUGGUCUACUUCCUUCAGUUCCUGGAUUAGGGAGGAAGCUAACAUUAUUCGGUAGGCCUGCUACACAAAAUCGGCCCUUAUUUUUCCUUUUAUUGCGAGGGUCACCGUCGCACGUCUUACUUUCUCUGUCCGCCAUAUUGAACUAAACCAACAUUAUGACGCCGAGCACGCACACGUGAUCGGAAGCGUCGUCACGUGAUUGCUUGGCCGAGCGAUUGAUGGAGGGGACAAAAACUGCGGAAAGUUCGAAAUUCCCUAAAAAACAAUAACGUUUCGAGGUUUUUACCGAUUUCGCUCAAAUUUUCAGCCAGUGUUUUUCAGAUAUCAAUAUUCAAAUAAACUCUAUUUUCGUUUCGUGACUGAGGCUCUUUAAGUCUUGCAUUUGUAGCGACGAUCUUCAAGGCUAAAGUCUUGACGUCGGACCGGUGUGUUAGACUGGACACAUCAAUUUUUGCGCCCGGGAACAACACUUUAGCUUUCCGUGCAAGGCUACCGAUCUUGACAGCACAGGUCUCCGCUGAAUCAGAGGGAAGGUUGUUGGUACCUGCGUGUAGAAUAAUUUGACUUGGGGCAGCGUGUCAGGGAAGGGAGAGCUUAUCUACAUGAUCCUUGAUAUACUCCACUGUUUUACCUGGAAAGAGUUGUUUUACCACCUUCCUUUGGGAGAGCUUUUUUUCCUCGAUGCCUUUGAGCAUUGAGUCGCCGAUUAAUAAAAUGAACUGGUUUAGGGGCUUCUGGCUGGGUACCAAGGCUAAUAUUAGCCGAUGUUUCCUCAUUGGUAGGAGUAGAAGUUGUCAUUAGAGGCAAGCUCUCAUGAUUGGAAGUCGAAGUGGAAGUAGAAGCUGUCGUUGAAGGCGAGCUCUCAUGAUUGGAAGUCGAAGCGGGGGUCGAAGGUCUAGGCAUGAUUGGCGACCGUGACGAAGGAUCAUCAACGCGGGAAACACGAGCAGAGGCAGAAGCAUCUGGCUCCCGUUGCUCCCCCAUUUCCAGCCGACGUCUCAUCAGUCUGUUAUCCUCCACGACUGACAGUAGUAGGUUUUUAAUCUCGCAUAACUCUAAUUUGAUUUGUGAGAGUUCAGCAGUUGAGGUGUCAUUAUAGUGACGGCCGCCAUUUUCUUCAUCUUCGACUCUCGAAGCAAAAAGGUUUGGCAAGCAACGGAUCUCAACUUAUCAAUAUCGGUAGAGUCGUUGACUAGGAUUACAUGAUCAUCUACGGCAGAAAGAGGUUCGGGCAUCUUGAACCUCUCGGGCAUCUUGUUGGUUGUCGAAUUAGCGUCCUCUUUUAAAGCUUUUCCACGAGUCAUCAUGGCGCCCAAGCGAUGAAAAUGAAAGCUUGAGAGUUUCAAUAAAUCCGAUAGAGCUCAAAUAAAUCCAAAUCAGUCCAAACUAUGAUCUCUAGAUAAAGUAGAGAUUCAAACUGAGCAGUAUUGAGCAAUAAUAAAUAACUAAGGAUGAAAUCUGAUAGAGCACAAAAAUGUACGUCCGCACAGACCAAAGGAACCAAACAGCCCUGGAAUUGGAUCCAGCACACCUGAUUUCUUCCACAUGGGCUUGAAAAGAGAGCUGAGUUCUUUAUUUGAUGUUAGAGAGAGAUUAUCAAGCCGAUUAGAGAAGCAUUUCUCUUCUGGAAACAGAUCUGUUUGUGUUGAAGGGAAAGUGUUACGAAUAGUUUCAACUUUCUUUGUAAAAAAGUUUGAAAAACUUUCCGCGAGAUCUUUAGGACAGUCAUGAGACGGUAAUUUUUUACUAGAUUUAGAAUUUAACAUCUUGGAUAUAGAAGUGAACAAAACAUGCUGAUCGUUGGCGUUUUCUUUUAUAGUUUCAGCAUAAAAGUUCAUUUUGGAAUCAUAAAUACACUGGUUUACUCUAACACAUUGUUCAACAUACAUCUCACGAUGGAUAGUGCUUUGGAUUUUUCGCCAUAGCCGCUCAAGUUUUCUCCGCUGUUUCUUUGCUUCCCUGAUCUCAUCAGAAUACCAGGGAGCAGCAGGUCUUACUGUUACAAUACUUGUAACUAGCGGAGCAUGAUUAUUUAAGAGAGAUGCCAGGGUAUCAUCAUAGCAUUUUGCUAGCUUGGAAACAUCUUCGAAUGAUUGUGUCAUUAAGUGAGAGCUUUUGAUAUCUUAGCAAAACCCGUCGCGAUCGAUGGACUUUAGUUUUCGCCUUUGUAAUUUUAUUUUUUCAGUAUUAGGUUUUUUAAGACACCUAGAUUCCCAGUGCACAGCAGAAUGGUCUGAUAUCUCUGGGUUAGUGACCCGAACAUUGUUUAGAGGUAUCUCUCCAGCUCUUGUUAUGACUAGGUCCAACGUGUGGCCAUUUUUAUGGGUAGAGCCUUGGACGUCCUGAUGAGAUUAAAAGCAUCAAGCAAAUCUUGGAACCUUUGAGCAGGUCGGUCCCCCUCAUCGUCCAAAUGAAAAUUAAAAUCUCCUGUUAUUAUAGAGGGGUGGUGGAAGUUAUAACCAUCUCAAGAAAAGAACUGAACUCCUCCAAGAACUUAGAAACAUUUAGUUUAUUCUUAUUUGAAGGCGGGGGUCGGUAGACAACAACCAUUCUUAGACUCGAUGACAUAUACUUUAUGUGGCGAUCAGUAAAUUCAAAUGAUGUAAAUGUAAUAUCAGGUGAGAGUUUUUUAAGUUUAAAGCGCUUAUUAUGCAAGAGCGCUACUCCACCACCCCUUCUCCCAACACGGGGCAAGUGAUGUAGAAAAAACCCGAGGGACAGAUGUCAUUCACAGUAAGUUGGUCAUUAAUGUCAUCCUUUAGCCAAGUCUCAGUUAUUGCUAAGAUAUCAAUGUUGUUAUCUACAACAAAGUCUUUGAUUAUAAAAGAUUUGCUCUUUACCGGCCUUGCGUUCAGUAAACAGAGCCUCGCGUUUCCGGAACAAGAGUUAACAAGCAUGGGAUCCCUUUUGAUAUUGAUCAGGUUUGAUGGAUUGCGAACAGGAGGACUGAAACGCGGGUUCAAAUGAAAUGGAUUUGUGUAUUUGUUGGUUAUUAACACAGGUAUUGCAGAAAUAGGUUUAGGAUGUGAUUUUGUACCAAGUAGGGAUGUCAGGGGAGAGUGGCAAGGUUGUCUAGGAGAGUGAACCUCAGGCUUUGUUUCGGGACCAGGGUUUAAUUUAAAUACCAAGUCUCCCUCCAGCUCAAGGUGAAAAGACGCACAAGAGUUGUUGUAGUAAUUCACGGGCUCGUUUAAACCUUCUGUCUUUCCUCCAAAUACAACAGAACAACCCUUAUCCAGACGAAGGUCUAGGUCUGAGUCUAGACAGGAAGUAUUCACUCUCAAGAGUUCGGUCGUAGAGUGUUUAGGCAAAGUGUAAGAAAAAUAAUUGCGAGGAACUGUUUGUGAAACAUUUUUAAGAUUAAGAAAAUUGUAGACUUUUUUGCUUAUUUUGGCAAAUACUGUUUAUCAAUAUAAAUAUAUCAAUAAAAAUGACUAAUUAAAGUACUUUAUGAGUUUAUUUUAUUUUGUUUUGUUUAUAUAUUUUUUAAUUUAUGAAUAAAUGUUUAUUCUUUUUAUUCAACAAUCGAUGUUGUGUUUUGGACAUUUAGUUGUAUUUGUAUUUAAGAUUGUAUUUGUAUAACUUUUAUGAGAAACUUAAUAAUAUAUAUAAAAAUAUAUGGUGUUAGCCGUAAUAUUCUUUAUCUUUUCCUUACUUGUAUGGUAACAAAUGAAAGCAAUUGUAAUCGCGUGUCUGAUUAGCGUUGCACACACAAGAGACAAGAACAAUUAAAAUUUCCUUAUACUAUGGUCUAAGUAAAUAUAUUCAAUUUAACUUAGAUUCUAAUAUUCUAUAAAAAUAAAAAUAGCUCAAAUAAUUUCUGAAGUUGAGUGGAAAAUGUUAAAAUUUAAUUUAUAUGAUAAUGUGAACGUGAAGUAAAUCCCGCGAGUCCCGCGGAACAGCCUCAAGUAAAUUUAUGCAAAACUAAGUAAAAAUAAAUGCACAGUUGAGUGAACAUGUAUUAAUUAACUAAAAAAAAAUUGAGUUGAAAAAGAUCGAUUCUAAGUGAUUUUAGCGGAGCACAUAAAAACACGUCUGAACUCCUCGAUCUCUUCGCUCGACCUGAGGUCCUCUCUAGUACACGAUACGACGCUUCGCUUUUUGUCUCAAAGUAGAGAGCAAGUCGUUGUUCUUCUCGUUGAGAAUACGACUGCCUCGUGGCCAGGAGAACAUCUCAAUCUUGCUUUGCCAUCAUUGUUUGCAGGUGUAUCUUUUCCGGAAAGCCGCUCAUCAUCAAGCGUCCUGGCAUGUUCUAGCCCUUAACCAUCGACAAUUUCUUUCUCAGCUACUAGAAAAGUGAAAAAAAUCGUCAUUCGUUUUCGUUCUUCAACAAUCGGUCCUAAAGGUAGCCAUAUUCACGUGGGAGGAGUCGAACACGUGUGCACUCUUCGAGAACAUGAGUGAGGGAAAUGAGUAAGAAUCUGUCAUGCAGGCUGGUUAUAAUAGCAAGCGCUAAAAUGCACAAAAUGCAAAUACAACUCACAGUCUAUAAAAUAUUUGCUAAAUUUUACAGAUUUGUUUCCUAAAGUUAAAUAAUCAACCCACUACAGGGCAAGAAAUAAAAAAUGACAGGAAAGCUUGUAACACACAACUAGUACCUUGGAUUUCCAGUAAGUAGCCUUUUUUUCGAAAGUUGACCAAAACACUUCAAUAUUGCAGAUUUGUGUGAUUUGUGCGAGCACAUGUUAUAUGGUAUCCAAGCGGAUACCAUUUGAAAGAUGAAAAUAUGAUGGAAUCGACCAUAACUAUCAAUUCUGAAAGGUGAUAUAGACUUAAAUAACACUGUUGUACCUGGAUACUGCCUAACCGCCUCAUAUAACUGCGGCGGUAACUCAGACAGUUACUGAGUUUAUUAUAAGUAGAGUACCUUAUUAUAGGAAAUUAAGGUUCCACUUGAUUACCUUAAUUACGUUUAUUGUUUUUUUGUAAUACAUUAAUUAAGUUGAACGUUAAUUUAGAGAACGUUAAUAAAUACUGAAUUUUAUGAAAGAUCGAAAACAAAAUUCAACGAAUUUUAAAACCAUACUCUGUUUAUUAAAAAAGAGUUCUCUCUCAAUAUUUGUGUCUUAUCUUGGGAAGCACGAGACCAUUCUUUGCUUGACGAGUGCUCCACGAGUGUUGGCCCAAAGAGAUACAACUGAACGAGGACCCGAUAAACUAUUAAUAUUCAUCAAGUAAUUUUUCAAUCGGUCGUUGUUCUCUUUAGCCGUAAAAGCUUGCAUACUUGAUGAUAAUAGUAUUUUAUGAAUGGAAUAUUUGCGAGCAGCAAAUUACCAAAAAAACCUUUCAGGAUCCGCGUUAAUUUGAAUACAUUAGGCCCAAAUUUAUUUGUUUUGUCAAAAAUUGUCGUUAAUUUGAUACGCGUUCAUUUAAUACACGUUAAUAUCUACCACCUUUAAUUCCUAUAAUAAGGUAAUCGUUGCGAAAAGCGACUAGGUUUGAGGAAAACAGCAGUUUAGUCCAUGAACCAUGCAUGGGUGGUAGGAUGGUUCGCCGGAACUGUACUGCAGUAGAAUUUCCUUUGUUCUCGAUGGCGUACAUCUACUGAGGUUUCGCGGUUACACACAUACAAUUUCAGCCUUAGUUAGCCAAUUACCGAACCUAGGUUAAAAGCACUAGUCUUACCACGGGGUAAAUCAUCCCACAAUAUCGUGGCUGUAAAAAAAACAUUCUUUCGUCCUUGUGUUCAUAAAACUGCAACAAUAUAGAUGUAAUAUGCUCUCGUUUUUCAAACAUUUGAAGCGAAGGAAAUCAAAGCGAGAGGUACUCUUCGACUCUGACUAAAAUUUAUAGAAUGUAAGGAUAACAUACAGUAAAUCAUUUAUUGCAUUACCUUCACUGUGUCCUUGCAUUGUUUUUUAUACACUUUGAAGUGUGGCUUGGCCGUUUUCUUGCAGUCUCAUGCUCAGUCAUGUUGCUUUCUUCUUCAACAAUGCCCACUAGUUAAGACAGUAAGUAUUUCUUUAUCUUCGGUAAUAAAUACUUUACUGGUCACGAAAUGAGGGAUCUGGAUAAGUGACUGGGGGAUGGGUAUUAGGGACAUUUUUACAUAAAUUGAAAUAGCAGCCUACCACUUGCCAUAUGGCAAGGCAUUCCCCAAAACCUCCCUGAAAUAAAUAUCUGUUUGUUUUUUCUGGUAGAAACAGAGCAGUGAGACAUUACAUAAAGGUUCAGCCAUAAGUUGUUUUUCUGAAAUAACUUUAUUGCUUUGAAUCGCGACACAUUCAACAGAUGUAACUUGAUGCAUCAGAACUGGCUUAGUCGCAGAAGUUGUGAGCCCACACCUCACACUCGAUCCAGUGAGUGUGUCACUCACUGUCAGCAUAAUAACACGGCAUGUCACUACAUUUGUCUUCUGUUGACCUCGUUUUUUCCACUUUUCUCACACUUUCCACAAAAUGAACUACGGAGACAAACACAUACGGUCAUUCCAAUGUCGGCAAGACAAACUCUCGCCAACUUCAUCAGCUUUCCCUUGUUCAAAGUGACAUCCCAACUUUUAUCAUCUAGAUGAACAAUUAUUUAAUUUUUAGACAAACUUCUUGGUCUUGGUUUAACGUGUCGGCUACAAA
Long non-coding RNA from Nematostella vectensis (starlet sea anemone), 7949 nucleotides. RefSeq lists it as uncharacterized. NCBI's taxonomy places the organism in Eukaryota, Metazoa, Cnidaria, Anthozoa, Actiniaria, Edwardsiidae. The transcript is spliced from 2 exons. The record is from RefSeq and is a predicted model, not a curated record.